GGUUCGAUUCUGCCCAGAUUGAACGCUGGCGGGAUGUUUGGCGCUACGCAGUCGACUGCAGCACGGACUUCAAGUCUGGUGGCGAUAAGAACGGUGAGUAAUGUAUCGGAACGCCUAGUAGUGGGGAUAACUACGCAGCAGUAGCUAAUACCGCAUAGCCACCCUUCGGGGAAAGCGGGGACCCUGGGCCUCGUAAUCAUUAGAGCGGCCGAUAUCGGAUUAGCUAGUUGGUGGGGUAACGGCUCACCGCGUUAUGAUCCGUAGCUAUUUGAGAGGACGACUCAGCCACACCGGAUCACGGGCCCAGACCUUGCCGGAGGCAGCAGGGGAAUUUCGGACAGAAUGGAAACCUGAUCCAGCCAUCCUGCGUGCGACAGAAGGCUCGGGCUAAAGCACUUGCGGCAGGAAGCAAACGGCACGGGAUAAUACCCCGUGCAACUGACGGUACCUGCAGAAUAAGCACCGGCUUGACCAUGCGCCAGCAGCCGCGGUAAUACGUAGGGUGCAAGCGUUAAUCGGAAUUACUGGGCGCAAAGCGUGCGCAGGCGGUUCGGAAGAUGGAAAUCCCAGAGCUUAACUUUGGAACUGCAUUUCCUUAACUACUGAGCUAGAGUGUGUCAGAGGGAGGUGAAUUCCGCGUAGCAGUGAAAUGCGUAGAUAUGCGGAGGAACACCGAUGGCGAAGGCAGCCUCCUGGGGAUAACACUGACGCUCAUGCACGAAAGCGUGGGGAGCAAACAGGAUUAGAUACCCUGGUAGUCCACGCCCUAAACGAUGUCAACUAGCUGUUGGGGCCCGGCCUUGCAUGCAGCUGAUCAUGAAGUUGACCGCCCGGGGAGUACGGUCAAAAAGAUUAAAACUCAAAGGAAUUGAUUUGUCCACAAGGUGGAUGAUGUGGAUUAAUCUGAUGCAACGCGAAAACCUUACUCUACCCUUGACAUGUCUGGAAUCCCAAGAGAUUUGGGAGUGUCGGCAGAGAAACGUUCAUGGUGCUGCAUGGCUGUCGUCAGCUUCGUGUCGUGAGAUGUUGGGUUAAGUCCCGCAACGAGCUUUAAAGCAACCCCUUGUCAUUAGUUGCUACGAAAGGGCACCGACGAGACUGCCAGAUAAACCCGAUAUGGGGAUGACGUCAAGUCCUCAUGGCCCUUAUGGGUAGGGUCAACACGUCAUACAAUUGUCGGGACAGAGGGUCGCCAACCCGCGAGGGAGCCAAUCCCAGAAACCCGAUCGUAGUCCGGAUCGCAGUCUGCAACCUGACUGCGCAGUCGGAACUAGUAAUCGCGGAUCGGCAUGUCGCGGUGAAUACGUUCCUGGCCCACACACCGCCCGUCACACCAUGGGAGUGGGUUUUACCAGAAGUAGUUAGCCUAACCGUAAGGAGGGCGGAUUACCACGGUAGGGAUUCAUGAUCAGUGGAAGUCGUAACAAGGUA
This 1431-nucleotide ribosomal RNA is filed under the name uncultured Bordetella sp. RNAcentral's name for it is "partial 16S-23S ribosomal RNA intergenic spacer". It matches the Rfam family "Bacterial small subunit ribosomal RNA". Lineage: Bacteria; Pseudomonadati; Pseudomonadota; Betaproteobacteria; Burkholderiales; Alcaligenaceae. The record is from RNAcentral.